RNAcentral lists this unclassified non-coding RNA (316 nucleotides) under plant metagenome. Its description in RNAcentral is "partial contains 5.8S ribosomal RNA, internal transcribed spacer 2, and large subunit ribosomal RNA". The stretch from base 1 to 105 matches the Rfam family "5.8S ribosomal RNA", at positions 50 to 154 of the family's 154-position model. The record is from RNAcentral.
GAACUGCGAUAAGUAAUGUGAAUUGCAUAAUUCAGUGAAUCAUCGAGUCUUUGAACGCACAUUGCGCCCCCUGGCAUUCCGGGGGGCAUGCCUGUCCGAGCGUCAUUGCUGCCCUUCAAGCCCGGCUUGUGUGUUGGGUCGUCGUCCCCCCCGGGGGACGGACCCGAAAGGCAGCGGCGACACCGUGUCCGGUCCUCGAGCGUAUGGGGCUUUGUCACCCGCUCGAUUAGGACCGGCCGGGCGCCCGCCGGCGUCAAACCCCCAAUCUUUCUAAGGUUGACCUCGGAUCAGGUAGGGAUACCCGCUGAACUUAAGC